AUACGUAGGUGGCAAGCGUUAUCCGGAUUUACUGGGUGUAAAGGGCGCGUAGGCGGGGGUGCAAGUCAGAUGUGAAAUCUAUGGGCUUAACUCAUAAACUGCAUUUGAAACUGUAUCUCUUGAGUGCUGGAGAGGUAGACGGAAUUCCUUGUGUAGCGGUGAAAUGCGUAGAUAUAAGGAAGAACACCAGUGGCGAAGGCGGUCUACUGGACAGUAACUGACGCUGAGGCGCGAAAGCACGGGGAGCAAACAGGAUUAGAUACCCUGGUAGUCCGUGCCGUAAACGAUGAAUACUAGGUGUAGGGGGUAUCGACUCCCUCUGUGCCGCAGUUAACACAUUAAGUAUUCCACCUGGGGAGUACGGCCGCAAGGUUGAAACUCAAAGGAAUUGACGGGG
Molecule: ribosomal RNA, 397 nt
Filed under: uncultured bacterium
Lineage: Bacteria
Description: partial 16S ribosomal RNA
Rfam family: Bacterial small subunit ribosomal RNA
Source: RNAcentral